Chlamydia trachomatis is the source of this 102-nucleotide non-coding RNA. The record is from Rfam. NCBI's taxonomy places the organism in Bacteria, Pseudomonadati, Chlamydiota, Chlamydiia, Chlamydiales, Chlamydiaceae.
GCUGGGGACCUCUUAAGAUGAGAGACUUCUGAACCGGGUCAGGAUCGGAAGGUAGCAGCCCUAAGGAUAGGCCUUUUGUGCUAGGAGUUUUCUCUGGCUUAC